GGCGUGGGUCGCCCGUGACACCAGACAACAGCUGCGGUUCUGUGCGCGCCGCGGUGCAGCGCCUCGGGCCCGGCGGAGGGAGCGUGGGCGGCAUCCGCCAGCGGUGAGGCCUCUCUGGUUCCGUCGUGCCCGGGGGAGGAGGGCGCGGGGCUCCCGGCCUGGAGCUGGAGUUCUGACUGUAGGCCCGCCCCUGACUCGGGUUUGCUGUGUGACCUUGGACUUUAUGGCAUCGGGGGCUCCUACUCAUUUGCACACGGAGAGGGUGGAGCCUGGGCACUGUCAGGGGCCCGAUCCUAAUUCUGCUUGCAGGCCUUGUCAGCCAGGGAAACUGGAGAAGCAGGCUCCGACACGGGCAUGCCAAAGACCUAUGCCUAUUUUUCUUCUCUCUCUCUCUCUCUCUCAUUUCAUUCUCUAAGUAUACUGCUAGAACGAAUAGCAGGCAAAAAUUGGGGGCCCCGUGGCAUGUUGUGACCUGUGCUGGCAGGCAGGACAUUGGCUUACUAAGGUUAAAGAAAGAUGAUAGAAUUGGGACUAAAGAGAAGACACAGUAGUUCUUGCUGCUCUUCCAGAAGACCCUAGUUUGGUUCCCAGAACUCAAAUCAGGCGCCUCGUAUCAUCUGUAACUCAUGUGCACACACAUCUAUAACUCUGUAGCAACACACAACUACACAUAGUUAAGAAUAAUAAUAAUAAUCAUAAAUGAGACUGAAUUGAGCACAGAAUUGACAGAGUUCCCUUGAUCCUGGAUACCAAAGGAGGAAGAUAAAUAGUGUCUUGGGAGAAAGAACUUUUCUUGUUGUUGCCUUAGUUUGACUUUUUUUUUUUUUUUUGAGAUAGGGUCUCCCUACAUAUCUCUGGCUAGUCUUGAACUCACUAGGUAGAUCAGGUUGACUUAAGACUUUCAGAGAUCCAUCUGCUUCUGUCUUCCAUGUGCUGAUAUUAAAGGUGUGGGUCAUCGUGCUCGGCUAAGAACUUAUUUUUAUAAAACGUUGAUACCAGUUAUCUGUCAGACACUGCUCUGGUCUCUUUAGGGACAAUGGUGAAUGGAAUCUUCAAUUAACCUUUAAAACAACUGCAGACAUUCACCCAGAUAGCUCAGAAACCUCACUUAAUGUUUUCCAGGUAUCAGAAAUGUGCUAAGCACUGAGGUUAACAAGAUGAGUAGAAUGUCAUCCUUGGUCACAUUGUAGAACAGUGGUGCUCAGCCUGUGAGGUGCAACCCCUCUGAGACUUGAAUAUCCCCUUUACAAUAUAUACACUACCACUCGUAAUGGC
This 1275-nucleotide long non-coding RNA is filed under the name Mus musculus (house mouse). Its description in RNAcentral is "long non-coding RNA chr11:70764446-70765721". Lineage: Eukaryota; Metazoa; Chordata; Mammalia; Rodentia; Muridae. The record is from RNAcentral.